Molecule: microRNA precursor, 109 nt
Organism: Sorghum bicolor (sorghum)
Lineage: Eukaryota; Viridiplantae; Streptophyta; Magnoliopsida; Poales; Poaceae
Rfam family: MIR5565 microRNA precursor family
Source: Rfam
GCAUUAGGUUUUGUUUGGAUCCACAUGUGUUGGAGUAGAUUGGGGUGGAAUUUAGUUCAAGUUCUACCCUAAUCCACCCCAACACAUGUGGAUUGAUGCGAAUCCGACU